UACCUGGUUGAUCCUGCCAGUAGUCAUAUGCUUGUCUUAAAGAUUAAGCCAUGCAUGUCUAAGUAUAAGCAUUUAUACCGCGAGACUGCGAACGGCUCAUUAAAACAGUUAUGGUUUAUUUGAUGGUUCCUUUGCUACUUGGAUAACCGUAGUAAUUCUAGGGCUAAUACAUGCACGAAAGCCCAACUCACGACGGGCUGUAUUUAUUAGAUAAAACACCAAUUCCCCUCGGGGAUCCGGUGAGUCAUAGUAACUUAUCGAAUCGCAUGGCCUUGUGCCGGCGAUAGGUCAUUCAAAUUUCUGCCCUAUCAGCUUUCGAAGGUAGGAUAUGGGCCUACCUUGGCGGUGACGGGUGACGGAGAAUUAGGGUUCGAUUCCGGAGAGGGAGCCUGAGAAACGGCUACCACAUCCAGGGAAGGCAGCAGGCGCGCAAAUUACCCAAUCCUGACACAGGGAGGUAGUGACAAGAAAUAACAAAGCAGGCAACUAUGUUGUUUUGCUAUUGGAAUGAGUAGAAUUUAAAUCUCUUUACGACUAUCAAUUGGAGGGCAAGUCUGGUGCCAGCAGCCGCGGUAAUUCCAGCUCCAAUAGCGUAUAUUAAAGUUGUUGCGGUUAAAAAGCUCGUAGUCGGAUUUCAGAUCGAAAUUGUAUUGGCACUUACCUGUGUUAGUCAAGUUUGGUCUUUCUUUCAGAAGCUAUCAUCGACUUUUAUGACGGUGAUGUGUGACUGAAUCGUUUACUUUGAGAAAAUCAGAGUGCUCAAAGCAGGUUUAGCCUGAAUGACACUCUUGGAAUAAUGAUAUAGGACUCCGGUUCUAUUCGUUGGUCUUGGGGACCGGAGUAAUGAUUAAUAGGGACGGUUGGGGGCAUCCGUACUUCGAAGCGAGAGGUGAAAUUCUUGGACCUUCGGAAGACGAACCACUGCGAAAGCAUUUGCCUAGGACGUCCCCGUUGAUCAAGAACGAAAGUUGUGGGAUCGAAGACGAUCAGAUACCGUCGUAGUCGCAACCAUAAACUAUGCCAGCUAGGGAUCAGUGGAAGUUUACUAACGACUCCAUUGGCACCUUACGGGAAACCAAAGCAUUUGGGUUCCGGGGGGAGUAUGGUCGCAAGGCUGAAACUUAAAGGAAUUGACGGGAGGGCACCACCAGGAGUGGAGCCUGUGGCUUAAUUUGACUCAACACGGGAAAACUUACCAGGUCCGGACACAGUAAGGAUUGACAGAUUGAAAGCUCUUUCUUGAUUCUGUGGGUGGUGGUGCAUGGCCGUUCUUAGUUGGUGGAGUGAUUUGUCUGGUUAAUUCCGUUAACGAACGAGACCUCAGCCUGCUAGUCUAGUUACAGUCAGUUCCGUCUGGCUUGUAUACUUCUUAGAGGGACAAUUGGAUUUUAACCAAGGGAAGCUUGAGGCAAUAACAGGUCUGUGAUGCCCUUAGAUGUUCUGGGCCGCACACGGGCUACACUGGCGCAUUCAACGAGUUUCAUAGACCUGGUUCGAAAGAAUUGGGAAAUCUGUGAAUCUGCGCCGUGCUUGGGAUAGACAAUUGCAACUUUUUGUCUUCAACGAGGAAUUCCUAGUAAACGCGCGUCAACAACGCGCAUUGAUUACGUCCCUGCCCUUUGUACACACCGCCCGUCGCUCCUACCGAUUGGAUGAUUUGGUGAGCUCUCGGGAGUUGAAUUGGCAGCUUAGCAAUAGGCAGCUGGAUCGACAAACUUGAUCAAACCCAGUCAUCUAGAGGAAGGAGAAGUCGUAACAAGGUUUCCGUAGGUGAACCUGCAGAAGGAUC
This 1789-nucleotide ribosomal RNA is filed under the name uncultured eukaryote. Its description in RNAcentral is "SSU rRNA". It matches the Rfam family "Eukaryotic small subunit ribosomal RNA". The record is from RNAcentral.